UACAGAGGUCUCAAGCGUUGUUCGGAUUCAUUGGGCGUAAAGGGUGCGUAGGCGGCGCCGUAAGUCAGGUGUGAAAUUUCGGAGCUUGACUCCGAAACUGCAUUUGAUACUGCGGUGCUUGAGGACUGGAGAGGAGACUGGAAUUUACGGUGUAGCAGUGAAAUGCGUAGAGAUCGUAAAGGAAGACCAGUGGCGAAGGCGGGUCUCUGGACAGUUCCUGACGCUGAGGCACGAAGGCCAGGGGAGCAAACGGG
Molecule: ribosomal RNA, 254 nt
Filed under: uncultured bacterium
Lineage: Bacteria
Description: partial 16S ribosomal RNA
Rfam family: Bacterial small subunit ribosomal RNA
Source: RNAcentral